GAGGGUAUAGCUCUGUGGUAGAGUGCAUGCCUAGCAUUCAUGAGGUCCUGGGUUCAAUUCCCAGUACCCUUG
RNAcentral lists this transfer RNA (72 nucleotides) under Camelus bactrianus (Bactrian camel). It matches the Rfam family "tRNA". Rfam says of the family: Transfer RNA (tRNA) molecules are approximately 80 nucleotides in length. Their secondary structure includes four short double-helical elements and three loops (D, anti-codon, and T loops). Lineage: Eukaryota; Metazoa; Chordata; Mammalia; Artiodactyla; Camelidae. The record is from Rfam by way of RNAcentral. RNAcentral also lists the same sequence under 2 other names.